RNAcentral lists this ribosomal RNA (433 nucleotides) under uncultured bacterium. RNAcentral's name for it is "partial 16S ribosomal RNA". It matches the Rfam family "Bacterial small subunit ribosomal RNA", at positions 29 to 507 of the family's 1533-position model. The record is from RNAcentral.
AGCGAACGCUGGCGGCAGGCCUAACACAUGCCAGUCGAACGAACUCUUCGGAGUUAGUGGCGGACGGGUGGGUAACACGUGGGAACGUGCCUUUAGGUUCGGAAUAACUCAGGGAAACUUGUGCUAAUACCGAAUGUGCCCUUCGGGGGAAAGAUUUAUCGCCUUUAGAGCGGCCCGCGUCUGAUUAGCUAGUUGGUGAGGUAAAGGCUCACCAAGGCGACGAUCAGUAGCUGGUCUGAGAGGAUGAUCAGCCACAUUGGGACUGAGACACGGCCCAAACUCCUACGGGAGGCAGCAGUGGGGAAUCUUGCGCAAUGGGCGAAAGCCUGACGCAGCCAUGCCGCGUGAAUGAUGAAGGUCUUAGGAUUGUAAAAUUCUUUCACCGGGGACGAUAAUGACGGUACCCGGAGAAGAAGCCCCGGCUAACUUCGUG